This 327-nucleotide ribosomal RNA is filed under the name uncultured bacterium. RNAcentral describes it as "bacterial SSU rRNA". It matches the Rfam family "Bacterial small subunit ribosomal RNA", at positions 202 to 507 of the family's 1533-position model. The record is from RNAcentral.
AAAGGUGGGGGACCUUCGGGCCUCACGCGAUGAGAUGAGCCGAUGCCGGAUUAGCUAGUUGGCGGGGUAAAGGCCCACCAAGGCGACGAUCCGUAGCUGGUCUGAGAGGAUGAUCAGCCACACUGGAACUGAGACACGGUCCAGACCUCCGUACGGGAGGCAGCAGGUGGGGAAUAUUGGACAAUGGGGGCAACCCUGAUCCAGCCAUGCCGCGUGUGUGAAGAAGGCCUUCGGGUUGUAAAGCACUUUUGUUGGGGAAGAAACCGGCCGGGUUAAUACCCUGGUUGAAUGACGGUACCCAAAGAAUAAGCACCGGCUAACUUCGUG